AAUUUGGACAUAUGCAUAUCCAACUUUUAACUUUAUCAUUUUAACUAAAGCAAUAAUUGAUUUUUAUAUCAAUAACAUUGUCAGUUACCUCUAGUUGGUGGAUGGUCAUUUCUCAUCCUCUUCUUGCGUUAUUUUUUUGCCCUCCUCUCAUUUUAAUAACUCCUUUUGGGGCUCGUCUAAGCUUUAAUUGCUUGUCUCUAUUUCGGUGUAGGAUUUCUCAAUGCAGAUGUCCUCCGCUUUAUGUGAGAGUUUUUGCUGCAGCUACAAAUGAUGGAUGGGUGGCAGCACUAAAAACCCCAAAUGCUUCUUUGUAUAUUGUUUUUCUCCAAAAUCAAAAUGUUUGUUGCUUCAAUCUCUAUUUGGUGGGUGAUCCGAGUUGGGUGUUGCUAGUGGCUAUUUUUUAUCCUUUUGAGGUGGUUGUGUGGUGUCUCUUGACUGGCAAUUGAGGAUGUUUGGCUAGUCUUGUGCUCCAUUGUUUUCUCACUGUCUUGUAAGCAAGGUCUUUAGUGGAAAUAAAGGCUCGAUAAACGAGAUUAGACGCAUUAAUUUUUUCAUUAGUGGUUGACACCAAAAUAACUAGUGAUGAUUCCUUCUUUUUUUCCUUUUUUUUAUGUGGUUUGACGGUUUAUGCUUGAGAUCAUGGUGUAAUUGGCUUUGGCUAUAUGUCAUUGUUGCUAUGUCUGUGAUGAUUGUUGUUAUAUGAAAUGAAACUUCUUUUUAUCAAACAAGUAUAUAUAUGAAAUUUUAAUUUUGAUUUAAUUAUAAACAUUCAAAGAAAUAAA
Molecule: long non-coding RNA, 782 nt
Filed under: Gossypium barbadense (sea-island cotton)
Lineage: Eukaryota; Viridiplantae; Streptophyta; Magnoliopsida; Malvales; Malvaceae
Description: long non-coding RNA (GBAR_LNC006356)
Source: RNAcentral